GCAUAGCUCAGCCGGUAGAGCAGCUUGCCUCUAAUCAGCAGGUUCGACUUCGAUUCUCGCCAGGACCA
This is a non-coding RNA of Brugia pahangi, 68 nucleotides long. NCBI's taxonomy places the organism in Eukaryota, Metazoa, Nematoda, Chromadorea, Rhabditida, Onchocercidae. The record is from the annotation of a GenBank genome assembly.